This 893-nucleotide ribosomal RNA is filed under the name Bolbitius titubans. RNAcentral's name for it is "eukaryotic LSU rRNA". It matches the Rfam family "Eukaryotic large subunit ribosomal RNA", at positions 61 to 941 of the family's 3401-position model. Lineage: Eukaryota; Fungi; Basidiomycota; Agaricomycetes; Agaricales; Bolbitiaceae. The record is from RNAcentral.
GAAACUAACAAGGAUUCCCCUAGUAACUGCGAGUGAAGCGGGAAAAGCUCAAAUUUAAAAUCUGGCAGUCUUUGAUUGUCCGAGUUGUAAACUAGAGAAGUGUUAUCCGUGCUGGACCGUGUAAAAGUCUCCUGGAAUGGAGCAUCAUAGAGGGUGAGAAUCCCGUCUUUGACAUGGACUACCAGUGCUUUGUGAUGCGCUCUCAAAGAGUCGAGUUGUUUGGGAAUGCAGCUCAAAAUGGGUGGUAAAUUCCAUCUAAAGCUAAAUAUUGGCGAGAGACCGAUAGCGAACAAGUACCGUGAGGGAAAGAUGAAAAGAACUUUGGAAAGAGAGUUAAACAGUACGUGAAAUUGCUGAAAGGGAAACGCUUGAAGUCAGUCGCGUCGGCCAGGAAUCAACCUUGCUUUUGCUGGGCGUACUUUCUGGUUGACGGGUCAGCAUCAAUUUUGACUGCUGGAAAAAGUUCAAGGGAAUGUGGCAUCUUCGGAUGUGUUAUAGCCCUUGUUCGCAUACAGCAGUUGGGAUUGAGGUACUCAGCACGCCGCAAGGCCGGGUUUCGACCACGUUCGUGCUUAGGAUGCUGGCAUAAUGGCUUUAAUCGACCCGUCUUGAAACACGGACCAAGGAGUCUAACAUGCCUGCGAGUGUUUGGGUGGAAAACCCAAGCGCGCAAUGAAAGUAAAAGUUGAGAUCCCUGUCAUGGGGAGCAUCGACGCCCGGACCAGAGCUUUUGUGACGGAUCUGCGGUAGAGCAUGUAUGUUGGGACCCGAAAGAUGGUGAACUAUGCCUGAAUAGGGUGAAGCCAGAGGAAACUCUGGUGGAGGCUCGUAGCGAUUCUGACGUGCAAAUCGAUCGUCAAAUUUGGGUAUAGGGGCGAAAGACUAAUCGAACC